GACGAACGCUGGCGGCGUGCCUAAUACAUGCAAGUCGAACGCAGUGGGGACGGGUGAGUAACACGUGGGUAACCUCCCAUCAGAGGGGAUAAACCUUGGAAACAGGUGCUAAACCGAUACUGAUGGAUGGACCAGCGGUGCAUUAGCUAGUUGGUGAGGUAACGGCUCACCAAGGCCACGAUGCAUAGCCGGCCUUGGAGGAUGAUCGGCCACACUGGGACUGAGAAACGGCCCAGAAUCCUACGGGAGGCAGCAGUAGGGAAUCUUCGGCAAUGGACGAAAGUCUGACCGAGCAACGCCGCGUGAGUGAAGAAGGUCUUCGGAUCGUAAAACUCUGUCUUUAGGGAGGCGUUAUCUAACCAGAAAGCCACGGCUAACUACGUGCCAGCAGCCGCGGUAAUUC
This 403-nucleotide ribosomal RNA is filed under the name uncultured bacterium. RNAcentral's name for it is "partial 16S ribosomal RNA". It matches the Rfam family "Bacterial small subunit ribosomal RNA", at positions 28 to 526 of the family's 1533-position model. The record is from RNAcentral.